Molecule: ribosomal RNA, 548 nt
Filed under: uncultured Glomeromycotina
Lineage: Eukaryota; Fungi; Glomeromycota
Description: SSU rRNA
Rfam family: Eukaryotic small subunit ribosomal RNA
Source: RNAcentral
UUGGAGGGCAAGUCUGGUGCCAGCAGCCGCGGUAGUUCCAGCUCCAAUAGCGUAUAUUAAAGUUGUUGCAGUUAAAAAGCUCGUAGUUGAAUUUCGGGAUCAAUUUAUCGGUCGUGCCUACGGUAUGAACUGGUACAAUUGGUUUCUCCCUUCUGACGAAGCAUGAUGUCAUUAAUUUGGUGUCGUGGGGAAUCAGGACUGUUACUUUGAAAAAAUUAGAGUGUUUAAAGCAAGCAUUAGCUUGAAUACAUUAGCAUGGAAUAAUGAAAUAGGACGUUUGAUCCUAUUUUGUUGGUUUCUAGGAUUGACGUAAUGAUUAAUAGGGAUAGUUGGGGGCAUUAGUAUUCAAUUGUCAGAGGUGAAAUUCUUGGAUUUAUUGAAGACUAACUACUGCGAAAGCAUUUGCCAAGGAUGUUUUCAUUAAUCAAGAACGAAAGUUAGGGGAUCGAAGACGAUCAGAUACCGUCGUAGUCCUAACCAUAAACUAUGCCGACUAGGGAUCGGAUGAUGUUAAUUUUUAAUGACUCAUUCGGCGCCUUACGGGAAAC